This is a small nuclear RNA of Perognathus longimembris pacificus (Pacific pocket mouse), 105 nucleotides long. NCBI's taxonomy places the organism in Eukaryota, Metazoa, Chordata, Mammalia, Rodentia, Heteromyidae. The record is from RefSeq and is a predicted model, not a curated record.
GUGCUCUCUUCGGCAGCACAUACACUAAAAUUGGAACAACAUAGGAGCUAAGCGUGGCCCCUGCACAAGGCGGACACGCACGUUCGUGAAGCAUUCCAUAUUUUU